GCGAACCCGCUCGCCAAGGAUCUCAUCCAUUUCCCCUGCCUUCCACUCUCCGCUUGCCGCGCCACCCGCCGGCUCCGUCUGCUCAGCCGCAAGCGUCAUCCCCCCUCGCCUCCCUUCGCCGGCGACCUCGUCUGGGCUCAAGUAGUCUGCCCAAGCCGCCAGCGUCGUUCCCUUUCGCCUUUGCUACUCGCGCCUCCCUUCGCUAGCGACCUCGUCCGAGUUCAAGUAGUCUGCGCACCGAGGGUAUGGAGCAGGGGUCAAACAGCGCGUUCUGGGCCACCUCCGCGUCGAGCCGCAGCGCCUCGUCGGCGUUGGCUACGGCGUGUGGCAGAGAGUGCGAGGAGGAUACUGAAGUCCAUGCCGACUUCGAUUCGGCCAUUGCCGCGACCUGAUGGGCUCAAAACGCGGCUGCUGGUUGCACUGCUACAGCAAGAUUUGCCACCGCCGCCAGUUCCAAGCGAGCACGUACCUCUCCCCAUCCACUGCCUCAAGGAAGAAGGGCCCUCCGUCUAAUCUGAAGUUCUGGACUACCAUCGCCGGUUUAGCUGCGCCCAUCCGCACAACCAGCAGGAUAUAUUAGCGAGAUCCCAAAUAUCAGAAAUCAACAAGUCAACCAGACACAAGGAGAGAAAAAGGAAAAUAAAGGUAAGAACUCAUUUCCUUUUUAAUACUUAUUUCAAGUACACAUACAUCUGAAUGACUUAAUGCUACUUACAUGUUUUGCUUUCCUCCAAAAGGGAAAGGCUUACUGAAAUUAGCAGUAGCAGUGCGUCUUGCAAUCACAAGGGCGAUAGUAAAAAAUCCCCAAAUCUUGCUACUUGAUUGUAUAUCCAGGCCAAUCUACAGCUUCCAUCAGCAAAACUUCCGGAAGAAAUUGAUGAUCAUAUUACACGUUCACGUAACAA
This is a long non-coding RNA of Panicum hallii, 905 nucleotides long. RefSeq lists it as uncharacterized. The record is from RefSeq and is a predicted model, not a curated record. The transcript is spliced from 2 exons. NCBI's taxonomy places the organism in Eukaryota, Viridiplantae, Streptophyta, Magnoliopsida, Poales, Poaceae.